AUGCAAUUCACCUUAACUAACUAAUUCAUCAUAAUCUAGUUCUCAGGUGAAGGGACCUGGUAAUUUAGAUUUCGGCUGUGAGGUAAUUACCUCCCGACCGAACUCCAAAUUACCAGAUUAGAGGUCAUACACUUAAACAUUUGCCGCAAGAAUCUCUUCCUGUAGGUCCAGCAGGUCCACAAAAGGCAGUCCAACCGUAUUUGCUACGCCACGACAAAGGCUGAUUAGCAUCCCAUGUANNNNNNNNNNNNNNNNNNNNNNNNNNNNNNNNNNNNNNNNNNNNNNNNNNNNNNNNNNNNNNNNNNNNNNNNNNNNNNNNNNNNNNNNNNNNNNNNNNNNNNNNNNNNNNNNNNNNNNNNNNNNNNNNNNNNNNNNNNNNNNNNNNNNNNNNNNNNNNNNNNNNNNNNNNNNNNNNNNNNNNNNNNNNNNNNNNNNNNNNNNNNNNAUAUUCUGAGGAUUGUAAUUAUUGUAUGUUGCUCUAACAUUAGUUGCACUCUGAGCACUCACUAACAUUGUUCCCAUAAGGAAACAUAAUACCAACAAGCUUAACACUUUCUGUGUGCUCUCCAUUUUCUGCAGUUUGUAUUAGUUUUUUUGUGGAUUUGGAUCAUAGUAGAGGAUGGUGUACAAAUAUAUAGAGUUGGAGAAAGUUUAACGAGACACGACAAUAGUACUAUUUUCCACAUAAUUAAUCUCAAGUCUAACAAAUGCAUUUGAACCGUUACCAUGCUUGUUUUGAAUUUUCACUUUGCGUGUAUAUUGGGUUUUGUAGUGUGUUGAUUUUUCUUUGUCUAGUUUCCCUGUACGUAAUUUUAAUUCCAGAACAUUAUUUAUAUAGUCAUAGCUUGAUUUGUCUUCUUGACCACAUGCCACUCUGGCGGAUAUCAUCUCUUUUUUCUCUUUUUCCUUCUUCUGACUCUAUCUCUCUUAAUCUCACACUCUCUCUACAUUAAAAAAUCAAAAGAUAUCAAGAGAGAUUAAGAUGAAGAAAAAUUGAUAGGAAGGACCACGCAGGGCCGGAGCCGAGAUUUUGGAGGCCCAGGACAAAUAAUAAAAAUGGAUACUUGAUAAAAAUACAAUUUUUUUUUUAAAAAAAGAACAUAAUCUAUUUAGAAUUUUUUUUAUAGAGUAGAAAUUAAUCAUAUAUUUUCAAAGAAAUAAUAAAAUCUAAUUUUUUUUUAAAAAAUAAAUAAAAUAGUCGGGUUAUUUAUAAGUUUUAAAGUUGUUUUUUAUUUUUUUUAUGCAAAGAGUAUUUAAUUUAUACUUUUAUAGAAUAUAAACAAUAGUUGUGUAAAUUCAUUAUAAAAGUCUUAAAUAAAAGAAAACAAAAUAAAACUGUCCUAGGGGGAAUCAAACUCAAAAUCUCAAGGAUCUAUAAUUUAUGGACUGGAAUUCGCGACACAAAACCAAUCACAUUAUUGUUUUUAUUUGUCUCCUAAAUAAUAUAUGAAGAAUAGCUUUACGUUGGGACUCCAAANNNNNNNNNNNNNNNNNNNUUAAAGUUUGAGGCCCUAGGCCGGAGGCCUGGUUGCCCCGACCCAAAAUCGGGCUUGGGACCACGGUUCGAUCAGGGACGGAUCCCGAAAUUUUGAGCAGUCGGGUCAAAAUUAUAUACUAUAAAUUUUUAUGCUUAUAUACUAUAAAUUUUUAUACAAUCCAUACAGAGAAAAAAUUGGGCUUAUGCAAAUGGGCGGUGAGAUUGGUCCUAGGGCCGGAUACCAAUUGAGAAAUUUUAUAUACUAUAUGGGGAGAGAUCAAAUUACACCGGUGUAACAUUUGAGUAAUGUUACACCGCUCAAUAACGCUUUAACGAAUACAAAUUUUACAAAAUCCACCGUUUGAUUAAAAAUUUAUAUCGUAUAGAUCAUUUAUGUUAAAUUUUAUAAAAAUCUAAAAUCGUUUGAUAUGAUUUUGUGAUAGAUCAAGAUUAACGGUAUUCAAUAAAAACACAUAAAUCAUUAAUUAUAAUCAACUUUUAUAUAACUGUCUAAUUUUAAUCGAACAAUCACCAAUAUUUUUAAUUUAAUUAAAAUUUAUUUUUUAGUCCUCAAAAUAUAGAUAAUUCUUUCAAGGACCUUUAGAUAAUUCUUUCAGGGACCUUUUGAUAUUGGUGAUUAAUUAAAUAACUAUCUUAAAUUUAUUUUUUAGUUUAGAAUGAUAUACAUUUUAAAAUUGUCAAAUAUUUUGCUUAUAAAAAAAUAAAAAAUAAAAAAAUUGUCAAAUAUUUCAAGGACCUUUAAAUAUUAAUUAAACACAAAAUAAAAAAGUAAGUAAGGAAUUUUAAAAAUCGGCUAUAAAAGCUAAUGUAUAUGUAUUUUAAAAAUAUAAGGGAGUUUUUAUUUUAUUUUAUUUUAUAAAAAUAGAUAUUUUUGUCUUUCUAUUAAAAAAAAAAUUGUUUCGUUUUUGGUCCACAAUGACCCGUUUAUAUUCAUGUUAAUGUUAAAUUUAUGACGAUUUUAUGUUCAUGUUAUACAUAUUUAUUAGGGGCCUUCUAUGGUACAUCAGAAAGAUUAUGAUGUACUGGUACAUUAAAAUGAACCAAUACUAAUUUGACAUGCUGUAAUAGUAUUAACAGACUGGAACAAUUAAGUUUGACUUAUAUUUAUAGAUUUAAUACCACAAAACAUAUGCAUUUUUCACCGCCCAAUUUUCUUGUUGAUGAUUUUGUUCAUCAUCAAAAUCAAUUUCAAACUCUCCACAUUCAUAUAUACCCCUGAUCGUCUCUGCCUUUAUGUUCAGAAUUAAGGUUCCGAUGCGUCUCUCUCUGCCGACCAGAUCCUCUAGUAUGGUGGCGACACGAGAACCUUCAACUCUUUAAGUUUUCUGGACUUUUGAAUUCCUUUUCUUCAUUUAGAUGUGCGAUUUACUUCUAGAAUUUUGAAUUUCUUCGUAAGUUCAAAUUGAAACUCAAUUUCCAUUCAAUAAGUUUAUUUUCUCUCUUUUCUCCGGAUUCUAUAUUUUUACAAUUUCCAUUCCUUUUCGAAUUGAAACUCAACUUCUAUUUAUUCAUUUUCAAUUAAGUUGUCCAGUGAGAUAUUGUUUGGGAAAUUCAUUGAGUUCUUCAAAUUAUUAAGGUGUUGUGGUGUACUGUAUAUGACGUGUUUAUUAUUCUUGUUGUCGUUGGAGAUGUGGUGCUUUGUCUCUUUUUUGGAGAUUUUGCCCACUCUUAUGUUUGUAUUUUUUUAUGGGUCCUCUCUUGGCUCUUCUUGUGCCUUGAUUGAUGGUUUAAUAAAAUUUAUUUGCUAUUCAAAAUAAAAAUAAAAAUGUUGAUCGUGAAACCGGUUAGGUUCAGGAGGAGAUGAAUUUGUUCUUCAAUUGUGUUCUUGAGAUAUGAAUAUAAUUAGUUUUAAAUAUAACUGCCGAAGAUGAAUUGAUUCUUCAAUUGUGUUCUUGAUAGAUGAAUACAAUUUGUAUAAUUUAUGGGGUUAAAUUUAUAUACAUAAAUGUACCGAUACUACUAAUUUAGUUGACUUUUAAAAUAUAACAUAUAAAUAAUGACGUGGACAAAUGUCAAUUUUCUAUUGGUUGAAUUGGCUAUUGUACCGGUACAUUAUGUUUUAACAAACACACCAUAAAAUUUGCCUAUUUAUUAUUAUGUAAGAUAUCUGUAUGUUUAAGAAAUGUCAAGAACGUACAUGCAUGUCAAAUGAUUAAAAUGUUAAGUUUUUAUUUUUAAUGAUUAAAAUGUAAAUUCUGAUAUAUUUUUAGAGACGAAAACUUUAUUUAAUUUUUUUUAAUAAACGUAAAGAAAAAAUGAGAGUGUCCUUAAGUAAAUGUUUAUUCAUGCGAUUCUAAAUAUUUUUUAAAUGAAAAGCUCUCUAAUUUUGCAAGCAUGGCAAAUCAUUAUAAUUAUUGAAGUCUUAUAAAUGAAUUCAUGACAUGAAAUAGAUCUUUUUGUGAUUUAUUUAUUUAUUUAUUUUUGACAAGUAUUUUAUUAUUAUUUUUUUGUUAUUAAUCUUUGUGAUUUCGUUGUAUUAAUAGGUAAGGAUAUAAAUUACUUGAAAAAUCACGUGUGAGAUUAGAGACGAACACACACAAACAAAGUGCAUUGCAUAUUGGGAAAAGGUUAGUAAAAACUUCAAGCAAAUCAACUUCAGUGCAUCUUUCCUGUGUCUAGUGAUUUUCUUCCAUUGUGACUUGAUUUGUUUAUUUUCUUUUUUUUUACAAAUUCCAUUGUGAUUUGAUUUUCUUAUAUACAUUAUAUGUUUUUUAUAUAUAAAUAGUUGUUAAGAGUUUAUUCUCUUCGUCAAAAAAGAAAUUUGAUCACUUUAAUUUCUUGCAAUUUUUUUAAUACUUUCUUUUUUGCUAUCGACGUGUUGAUUAACACGUACUCAAAUGCUUUAAUUUUCCUAAUUUUCUUUCCAAUUCUUUAAUUUAUAGAAAGAGUAAUUAAUUGAAGUUGGCUAUGUUAUGCAAUAGACAACUUAAAACAUGAUAUGGUAGCUUAAAAGAAUAAAAUGGGUAGAUUAAAAGAGUAAUUGAAGUUAGCAUGAUUAACACAACAAGGCAUAAGAAUAGAAAAAAGACAACUAAAAAAAUAUGUAGAUUAAAACAAUAAAAUUGAGUAGUCUAUGUUUAAUAAAUCUUACCUUGUUAACUCGUUCAAAAAAAAAAAAAAACUUAGCUUGUUAACAUGUUGCAGAUCAAAGAGGAAAAACUUGUAAUUCAAACUCAGAAGCCGACUUCCAAAAAUGGAUCGUACAAUUUGGCAGUUUGCUCUAUUCUCUUUGUGCAUUCUUUCAGGUACGUAACAAAGAGUACUAUUUUUUCAGGAUUUGAACCAUGAACCUCUCGAUUAAUAGUUAUUUAGUGUCCCUCCACAAUUAGUAGUUAUACUUUUUGGUAUCGAACUCACAACUUAAAACUCAAUCAAUAUAUCUCUUAGCUCACCAACCGAGCUACCUAAUGAAAAAUCAAAAUGACAUCUUUGGACUUUUGUAGGAAUAUCUGCAUCAUUAGGUGGUGGACAAUGGUGUGUGGCUAACAAAGGAGCUUCAAACUCUGAUCUACAAGUAGCUCUUAAUUAUGCUUGUUGUCAAGGAGGUGCAGAUUGCUCACAAAUUCAACCUGGAGCAAUCUGUUAUGAACCAAACACUCUCCUUGAUCAUGCUUCUUAUGCCUUCAAUGACUACUAUCAAAAGCAUCCGACACCUUCCAGUUGUGUAUUUGGAGGAACCGCGACGCUUACAAGCAAUGAUCCAAGUAAGCAUUUCAUCAAACACAUAAGCUUAAUUGAAUGAAAUAAGACAGUAAAAGUUGUCAAGUCAGUGGUAAAAGUUUGACCGUAUAAUGGUUAAGAAGUCUCACAUCAGUUGUGAGACGGCCUUGACAAGUGUUUAUAAGCAAGUGACAAUCCUCACCUUACAAGUCGGUUUUGUAAGGUUGAGUUAGACCUAAUACAUAUUUCUAAGAUGGUAUCAGAGCCCCGCUAUCGGGCCACCCACCGUUUAUAUCUACGCACCAAGUCCAAUAGUACUGGUAGCCGAUUUUGUAAGGAUGAGUUAGGCCCAAUACUCAUUUCUAAGAAUAUUUUCACGAGACAAAAUUCAAAUUUGUAAAAUAUCCAUAAAUAUUACUGCCAAUAUGCAUCAUUUCAGGUCAUGGAAACUGCCAUUAUGCAUCAUCCGGUUCAAGGUAAGAAUUUAUAACAUCUAUAAGUCUGUAUUUUUUAUUGACGAAUCAAAACGACAAAGACUGAAUGAAUAUGAGUGGACGUGGCAACGAGAUCACUCUGCAACCAAUCUAUAUCUUAUUUUUCAAUAGUCUAAUUAUAUAUAUUGUCAAUGCAGCUCACCUCCAGGAUCGGACUCAGCCACAUCUGCUGUUCUUUCUUUGUCAUUGUUAUUCACAUGUGGUCUCUUGGUUUCACUUCACUUCAAGUAGCAAAUUAUAUAUAGACAAGAAAUUAACAAAUUCUGGCAAUUCUUUAAGAGCUAGAAUUCUAAUUAAAAUUACUCAUAAAAUUACUCAUAGAAUUUUUUUUACAGUAUUAGCUUAUCUUUCAUGGAGAAAUGAAUGUACCUAAUAUCAGCUACUGUGCCAUUUUUAUUUUGUGAAUAGAAAUAAAUUGCAAUUACAUAACUUCUGAAAUUUUUAACAUAUUUCUAUAUCUUAAUUGAAACUAAUAUUAUUAGUUUUAUACUUCAAAUCUUAAAUGUUCUAUUACAUGUCAAGAAUAAAAUGUUGGAAUAAUCCCAGUCUUUAAACAAUUGAUAAGGGGCUCAGUCCGUGAUUCUUGAUAUUGAUCGUACAAUUGUUGAUAUGUACCUUUUAUAUACUUAAUAUAGUUAUAGAUUUUUUUUUUGCAAACUUUUUAACCACUUGAGUCUGAUAUCUUAGUUUUAUAUUAUAAUGUUUUUAAUCAAAAUAUGCUCGUAGAACUUGGUCCCACGAUUAUAAAUUUCUGAAUCCGCCGCUCCUGCUCUUUCUAUAGAUCAUGAACUCAUUUGUGUAUAUAUAUCUCCUUAUAAAAUUAAAAGUUAUUAAUUUGUUCAUAAUUAAAUGAUAUAUAUGUCUAGGGUUAUAAAAUUAAAAGUUAUUUGUUCAUAAUUAAAAGUUAUUUGUUCAUAUCCAUUCAUUUUAUUUAAUCCAAUGGUCUAANNNNNNNNNNNNNNNNNNNNNNNNNNNNNNNNNNNNNNNNNNNNNNNNNNNNNNNNNNNNNNNNNNNNNNNNNNNNNNNNNNNNNNNNNNNNNNNNNNNNNNNNNNNUUUAUUUAAUCCAAUGGUCUAAAACAAUCACUAAAAUGUUUCACAAAAUUGAAUAUUUUGUGAUUUGUCUCACAAUCUUUCCUUAAAUAACAAAUUUUCUUUCUCUUUGUUCAUAGAGAGAAAUGUUUAUAGUCAUAAAUUCACAUCAACACUAAUUUAAUCUUUCUUUUUACUCAAACAAUAAUCUCAAUCUUGUUCACAGCAAAAUGUCGUCAAAUUUUAUCUUCUAAAUUUAUCUUCCAUGGCAACAGAAGCAUAAGAGGGCUAUGGAUGAAAUAUUAUUGCUCUUCUAUAAAGCCAUGCGAUAUUAAUUUAAAAUUAAUUAAUAUGGAACUUCAAAUAUUGGAUUUCAAACCAUUUUUCAUAGUUCUUGUUGAUAUUGAUACUUUUAUGGUUUUAAACGAAUGGAUGAGAUUUGGUGUCAAAUUAAAGUUUGACACCUUGGUGUUAAUUGUUCCUAACCCAUAUGUCAAAUUAACUUUGAAUUACCUUAACUUCUUUCCAAGAUCACCUUAUUAUGUGUGUGUGAAACAGGACAAAAAUGAAAUCCAAAUCCAAAUGUUACCAAAUAGCAAGCUAUGUAUAGUAAAUGAUAAAUAAGAACAAGUUUAUUUAGAUUCAUCCAAAUUAAAGGUAGUAUACAAGUAGCACCGCUUGUUUUAUUUAUGGUAUUAUUAGGCGGUACUUAGUACAUCUUUUGAUCACAAACAGUGAUUCAUUCAUUCACAUUAAUUAACAAUUAACAAAGUUAUAGUUAACUGUAAGAUGGCCAUUCUGGUAACCUUGUCCAUUUGUAUCAAUUUUAUUGAAGACAUUCACAUCCAAAUCCAGACCACCAUUGGCACAUUUAUCCACUAUUCUCACUGUUGCCUGAGCUCCAGUUGCAGUAUUUGUCACCUGCAUCAUCACAACAAUAUUAAUUCAACUAUCCAAAACUGAGAUGGUUGCUCUUCCACUCUUUGAAUUGCUCAGACUAGAAAACUACCGGAAGAUAUCUCCCGAUAAGAUCAGGGCCGGCCUUGAGGGAGUGCAAGGUGUCCUAUGGCACUGGUCCUCCAUUUUUUAGGGGGCUCAAAAAUAAUUUAUAUGGUAGUAGGUUUUGUAAAAAAAAAAUUGAUUAAAAAAUUAACUAAAAUGUUCUAGUAUUUUUUUUAAUCUAAUUGUGUUGGUCAAAUCAAAAGUGGCUAGGUUCAAAUUUCAGAAAAAUAAAAUGAAUAUUUUUUUUUUCUUGUUUCAAAUACAAACAGAAACUCGUGUAGCUUCUCUUUCUUCAUUAUCGAUAGGAGAGAGACUUUUUUCUUUUUUAAGUAGUUAGAAGAAAUUUUUGUUGGUAUUGAUUAUACAGCGAUGCUAUUCAUCACGACGCUUAAUUUGGCGAAUUCCACGAACAGUGCAAAACCUUCACAAUUUGUUUGUUUUUUAAAUUUAAAUAAAAAAGUAUAUAAUUUGGUGUUUUACAGAAAACAGGGGUGGUUGUGUGUUAUUCUUGGUUUUCGUGAAUUGCAAUUUCGUGAUAACAAGCAUAAUUCUUGAUUAUAAUAUGACUAUUUUUUAUGUUAUUUAAUUAUAUCAUUUACAAUUGAAAAGAAUAUUAUUCUUUUUGAAUUUUUUACUUUUUUCAUUAAGGGGCCCAUCUUUAAUAUGCAAGGUCGGAUCUCAAAAUUGUCGAGACCUGCCCUGAGUAAGAUUUGCACUACCAGAAAUUAUCUUCUAGCAUAUGGAGGGAUAUGGGGAGAUUCUGAUCAAUUUAAGAGACAAAGAGCGUCCAUCGAAGAUAAAUACGGUACAAAUAUUCAUCUUAGUUAAGCAGAGUGUGGACUUACACUUAAACAUUUGCCGCAAGAAUCUCUUCCCGUAGGUCCAGCGGGUCCACAAAAAGCAGUCCAACCAUAUUUUUGACGCCAUGACAAAGGCUGAUUAGCAUCCCAUGUAGCACAAUAUACACUGGCAGUGUUGUAAUCCCAAUUAAUAUUCUGAGGAUUGUAAUUAUGGUAUGUUGCCCUUACGUUAGUUGCACUCUGAGCACUCACUAACAUUGUUCCCAUAAGGAAACAUAACACCAACAAGCUUAAACUUCUCUGUGUGAUGAUCUCCAUUAUUAUAAUUUUCUCUUGUUUUGUAUUAGUUAUUAUGUGUUUCAUAGUAGAGGCUUGAGUACAAAUAUAUAGAGUUGGAGAAAGUUUAAUGAGACACGACAAUAGUGGUGUUCUACAGAAUUAAUGAUCUUAGUCCAACAAUGUGUUUGAACCGUUACCAUGCUAAUUCCUUUGAUUUUUAUCCAGCGUGAUGUAUUUGAUUUUGUUGUAUUUUGAUUUUUCUUUGUCUAGUUUGUAGUUUCCCCGUAAUAUAUGGUAGUUUGAUUUGUCUUAUAUUGAGCACCCUCCAUCACGACAUGUCUAGAUAAGUUUGGAGGUUUUCCAAUUGAGACUUGCUAUAUACAUGCAUAUGCAAUUAAUCAAAAUACUACCGAAUCCCAUAAAUCCUAUCUCAACUAGUAUAAAAUGUCGAAAUUGUUUGGCCGGACGUCGUGAGUCGUGAUCCGGAUUCGAACCCAGGAUCUCACAAUUAUGUGGUUUGCUUCUCAUAUUUUGUUUUUUAAAAGUCAAAUGACCUAACUGAUGUCCAACGAUCAUUGACUUCAUAAGUCAAGUUUGUGUUUAUUUUGUUUUGAUAUUUAUUAGCGUGUCUUUGAUUUUCCAUAUUAUUCCAGAACAUAAAGUUUGGAUUUUGUCCUCCCCAAAUAUAAACCCAUAAAGUUUGGAUUUCCCCAAAUUCAUUCCAAUUUCGAGCAGAGAUAAAAAGUAUAACCUCAAACCCACACUCAACGGAAAUUGGGUAUUCCUAACGGGAUUCGGGUAUCCCCGUUACGCCUCUUUUCACAUGAAUUUGGAUAGUAUUAUAGUAUUUUUUUUUUAUUCAAAAAAGAAGUUAAAUGUAAAAAAUUAUUUUGUUUUAACAAUAUUUUUUAAAUAAAGAAAAGAAAUAGAGAAAAUGGUUUGUUUAAUAAAAAAAUAGAGAUAAAAAUAGAGAAAAUGGUUUUUUUAAAUUAAGAAUAAAAAAUAAACAUAUGAAUGUAAUUUAAGAGAUUGUUUAAGAGUUUCUAAUUUAAUAGAGAUAAAAUCUAAUUUUAGUAUAAGCGGCGCGGGUUCGGGGUGAGUAUCAAUGUCUCAAUUACCCGCCCCAACCCUAUCUUUUAAAAUUGGAGAAAACCUAAAUCCGAAUUCAAACUCAAUCAACUCGAAUUUUUCCCGUCAAAGUUUGAUUUGUCUUCUUGAUGACCCCAUUUCCACAUGUCUUGUUAAAUACUAUAAUAUUUAAUUUAAAGGAUCCAUAUCCACACACACAUAUAUAAAGAUGUAUUUCGUACUGAAUUGACAUUAAUAAUGUUAUAUUUUAGCCGUAAAAAUGAGAAGAGUCGUGAUUUUUUUAAUUUUAAAAUAUAUUAUCGACAGUUUUUAGAAUUUCUAAUAAUUUUAAGCAUUGAUCCACAGUGGACCAUUUGUGAAACUGGUCCACCGCAGCAUUAACCUAUUUUAUUGGACCAAUCUAGAGUACCCUAUGUGAUUCUAAUUUUAGUUUUGGCCAUACCCAACUCAAUUCGGCCCAAAUACGUACACACCAACCUUUUUACAUUUAAAUUCCUUCUUUAAAAAUUACUAAUAUUCAUACAUAAAGAAAGAUAAAAAAUAUAUAUAUCUUGCACCCGCGGAAAAGAAUGGUCUCCCAUGUGAUUUUGAUUAGAGCGAGUUCAGUGUGUCUCUCCACCCAUUUUUUACUAAUUGGAACUGCAUGUGGCAAAUAAAAAGGAAUGUAUAAGAUUUCAACAGUCUGUUAAGGGAAGGAGAAAUUAUGGAUUUUCUACACGAAUUCGAUAGUAAUGCCACCCUCCCAAAGACGAUAAAAACAUUUUUUUGACUCUCAUACCAAAUAAGAAUCAUCCUCAAGCACUGUCACAUUAUAGGCCUAUAUAUAUGUUUAGUAGGAUGUUUGAACAAAAUUAUCUCAAAAGUUUUGGCCAGCAGGAUUUGGAAAAUAUGAUUUUGGAGAGUCAGCUUUCCUACCGAAGAAGCAGAUUCUGGAUGGAGUGUUUGGUUGUGAAUAAAUUGAUCGACCUUGCCAGAAAGAAGGAUAAAUGUUUGUUGUUUAAAUGCAUUUUUUAAGGGCUCGGGCUAAGGUGAGAGGACAUCUCAUAUCUCUNNNNNNNNNNNNNNNNNNNNNNNNUUAGAUUAUGAGAGUCUAUAGAUCUUAUUGUGGUUUAUCUGUAUGAUAUUUGUGUCUUUUUGUUUGACCUUGACUUUUUUCUUUUUUUGAUUCACUUUUUGAAAUUUAAAAUUACUAUUAUUGUUUACAAUUAAAAAAUGCAAAUUAAGUUUCCAUUAAAAAAAAAACCAAAAAAAAAAACUCACCAAUUAUAUUUAAUUGAUAAAUAUCAAAUUUAUAUCCAACACUAAUCAUCAAUCUUCAAAACAUAAAUUUGAAGCUCCUGAAUUGGUCCACAAUGUAGAUCCUCUUGUUGACAAUGUGGAUGGGGAUCCUCCUGUUGACAAUGUGGACUUGGAUGAUGCUGAUAUUGUCGGGGAUAUUCUGGUACAAGGGGUUGACUGUCGAGUUAGACGUGCUGAGAAGCGCUUUUUAUAUUGAAAAAAGCAGUUUUAUUCAAACAUACGUGUUGAUGAUGAAGAAUUCAAAUUUAUGGCAUCAAUGGAUGAAGAAUUUGUAAUAGUGUAGGUUUAUGAUCUUUUUUUUUUUGGAGAUAAAUUAAACGAGUCAGUAAUUUUUUCUUGUAACAAAUGCAAAAGGAGUGAAUCCUGCAGCAUGUAAAUUGGUUUGUGUNNNGUUUCUUGCUUUAUAUAUACGAAAACUCUUUGAGAUCAGGAUAGUGAAUCCACUCUAGCAAAAAAAAAAAAAAAAUUCAUGAUCCCAAAUGUUUCUUCUUUGGCAGGAACAAAAUUACCCAAAUAAUCUCAAAUUAAUUUCUUACUUCAAAUCUAUUUAUUUUUUCGAGCAAAAGAAAAAUUUAUUUGGGUUUAAAUAUUUGAGUUUGCGUUUGGAAAAUGUUUCAAUGAGAAUUCUCGAUAUAUUUUGUGAAAUUUCAUAGUUUGGGUGACUUACUAUACCUUCAUGUUAGUGUAUUCUCUUGAAAAUGAAGAUUAUGAAGAACAUUUUUUUUUCUAAUAUAAGUUUUGUAAUUUUAAAUAAUGGUAAAUAUUAUUUUAGUAUAUUAGAAUGAAUAAAUUUAUUGGGGUUAUUGUAGAAAGGAAAGAAGAGAAGUAAAGAAGAGAAUACUUCUCUUCGUGAUGUGAUUAUUGAAGAAAGUAAAGAAGGAAACAUUUCUCUUCAUGAGAUUGUUGAAGAAGACAUAAUAGAUGAAUGUAUAUCAAUAAUUCAAAUGUGAGAACAAUUUUUCUAAAAAAAAUGAGAAGAUUUUUUUUUACAUUUGUAACUCAAAAUUAGAGGUUUUUGUUUUUAUUUUUAAAAAUUCCAUAUAAAAAAGAUGUACUGUACAUGAAUACUUUAACAAUAAAAUAUCAAUUUCAUUUUUAUUGAAAUUACAUGAGCAUUAUUAGUUUCCAAGUUAUACAUGAUGAACUUAAUUACAUAAGCAUUAUUUUAUUGGAAUUAAAAACAUUGAUAACUACUCCUCCAUCUGAUCUUAAUUGUAAGCAAAUCUUAACUUUUUUAAUUCAAUGAAAAAUUAAUGUAUUUAGUCUAUAAUUAAGGUCGAAUACAUUAGUUAUUCAAUGAAUUUAAAAAGUAAAAAUUUACUUAUAAUUAAAGUAAGAGGACAUCUAUAUAAAAUAAAUGAGCAAGAAACUCUUAUUCCACACGUUUUUCAUAGUCUUAUUUAUUCUUAAUAUGGCUACUAUCUAUAUAUAUAUAGCCAAACUAUUAUAGAACAUACUGAAUCAUACAUUUAACUAAUAUGGGCUUUCGCCUUCAAAGUUACCAGGUGGAUCAUAGUUGCAAGUAAUGAAUGUUCCACCAUUAUCACAUCUCACUUUGGCACAUCCAACACGUACUGUAUCUUUCCAAACCACCUGAGUAUAAUGGAGACAUUCACCACCAACACAUGAGUUACUAUCAUGAUCAUAGUUGCCUAUCUCAUCCACCCACAUCUCCACCGCACCCGUGCCACUAAAGUCGCCAAAGCUCAUAGCAAUAUUCUCUCCGUAACCGCCAUGAUCACCACUGGAGUGGAUCAGUUGACAAUCCGUACGUUGAUUAGCAUAGUUCUGUGCAAAAGCAGCUACGGUGUCGUCCCAAACUAUAUUUGGGACGCCAACCUCGGAUCUUGCUAUGUUGUGGGCGUUCACAAAGUCUGUUGGUGAGUCUUGUGCAAGUGCAACAUGACCAAUAAUUAGAAAUAAGCCCAAGACACAAAAUAGAGAAAAUGAAGUCAUUUGUUUUUACUAUUGAUAAAAGUGUAAAUGGAAUGUUUGGUGUUUGAUGAAAAAUGUUAGGGCUCCUGUGGUGUAUUUAUAGGGAAUUUUUUGUACAAGAAAUUGAAAUUUGGCAAUUAACUUAUAAGAAAAAACAAGUGUCAAGUCUUAUUAAGAAAAAAAAAGGACAAGUGCCAAAAGGUAAUUGAAUUUUUCAAAUGAAAUUUCUUCCACAUAACCAAACAAAUUUGGUUCUCCACUUGUAACGUAAUAUUUUUUUUAUUGUCUGUGAGGAUGCCUCUUGCUCUAAAAGAAAACAGGCUAUCAGCGGUUAAAUUGUUAUUAUUUUUGAUUUUCAAAACCCAAUUUUUAAAAUAUUACAAGUUUUUUUAUAUUUGUUUUUUUAAAUUGAAACACUAGUUUUGACAUCAUAUAACAUAAACACACAUUAUUGAAGAUCAAAAUAUAGUCAAAAUCAAAAAAUUUUCAAAAAGUUAUAUUUCAAAAAUGACUUUUAUGAAAAUCUAUUUGAAAUAGCUUCAAAAUUAAGUAAUUUUUUUUUUGAAAUUUUGAUAUCUGAUUUUUUUCUCAAUAAAAUAGUAAAAUACCUAAAAUCACAUUUUAAGAAUAACUAUUCAAACCAAUUUUUUAUUUAAAGCUUUCAUAAAAAGUUUCUUUAUAAAAAAUUUUUACAUAAAAUUACGUAACAUUAAGAGAAUCUAUUUUAAAAAAAUCUAUAACAAACAAGCUGAUAUAAAGUGUUGUUAAAUAGAAAUUAUUGUGGUGGUAUAGCUUGGUAGUAUAGAGCAUUUGUUGCAGAUUAAUUUUUUUCAAUAUUACACACAUAAUGAAACACAAAAAGUAGCUUAUAGCAUAUGUUGAAUAGCUUAAAGCUAGCGUAUAAACCUCCAUAAAUGUUUGGUACCAUUUAUUUUCUCACAAGCUUAUAACAACUUUUUUUACUAAUAACAUUUUAUUUGGUGCUGAACUGUAAAAAAAAACAUUUUAUUUGAUGCUAUUUCAAGUAAUAUUUGAAUUUAUAAUUACAGCAUAUUGUUUUUUCUAUCACUAUCUUAAUUAAAAAAAUUAAUAUUAGUUAAAAAGAUGUUUUAUAUCAUUAUAUAUUUAUUAUUUCAACCAUUAAUUUUACCGAAUACUUUAAAAUAAAACACCUAACUUAACUAUUAUAAGAAAACUUUUUCUAUACCCACAUGAGUUGAUCGUGAAACCUAAGAUCUUAAAGUGUGGUUCUCAUUGCCACUUUUUAUGUUGAAUGAGUUCAUACAAAUUGAAAAACUAGACGAUAGAAUUGGUGGCUUCAAAUUAGUCGAUUUUUAAAUCAGAUAUCGAAUCGAAAAUAGAAGAAGAUAAAUUUUAUAUUCCCUAUCUUGUGUAUAUUUACUUAUCUAACAGAAUUUAUGUUACGUAUAAAGCCUUGAUCAGCAGCCUUUGGCCAUGUCUUACUAUUAGCCGCCUAGUUAAAUUAGUUAAAUGCCCAAUAGCUACACGUAUGUUCUCUCUUGCAAUCUAAUACUAUAAUAACAAUAGCUAUAGUUAAUUAGUUUUAUCAAGUGGAUCACAUACAUUUCUAAGGAAGAGAUGUCCAAUAAGACCAUAUUAUAGUAUUUCCUUCAUCCCAAAAUAGAAGCAAAAGUUGGUCAACAAAAGUUGAUGUAUUUGGUCCAAAUUUUUAAUCAAAUACAUUAAGUUUUUUAAAAUCAUNNNNNNNNNNNNNNNNNNNNNNNNNNNNNNNNNNNNNNNNNNNNNNNNNNNNNNNNNNNNNNNNNNNNNNNNNNNNNNNNNNNNNNNNNNNNNNNNNNNNNNNNNNNNNNNNNNNNNNNNNNNNNNNNNNNNNNNNNNNNNNNNNNNNNNNNNNNNNNNNNNNNNNNNNNNNNNNNNNNNNNNNNNNNNNNNNNNNNNNNNNNNNNNNNNNNNNNNNNNNNNNNNNNNNNNNNNNNNNNNNNNNNNNNNNNNNNNNNNNNNNNNNNNNNNNNNNNNNNNNNNNNNNNNNNNNNNNNNNNNNNNNNNNNNNNNNNNNNNNNNNNNNNNNNNNNUCAACAAAAGUUGAUGUAUUAAUUUGGUCCAAAUUUUUAAUCAAAUACAUUAAGUUUUUUUGAAUUAUUUUUACUUAUAUUUUAGGACGAAUGAAGUAUUUUCUAUUUAGCAAUUACUAAGCCGUCUGUUAGGAUUAAGGAGGCUAUAGGCAGAGUGCUGAAUAGGUACAUAAUCCUGAUGACCAAGGUUAUAAUACGUUUGAUAAUUUCAAAAUUCAAACAAUGUGCAUCGAUCUAUCAUGAUGUGCAACCCACUCUCUCAAGAAAACUAUAGUAAUUUAAAUUUAAUUAUCUACUUGAUUUGCAACCCAUCAGUUUUCUUGGAUAUUCUGCCAUAGAUAAUAAGCGUGUCUGCUUUAAUUAUGAGUUUCCUCAUUUACUUUUUCAUAAAAUAUAAUAGCAAUAUGUUAAGGAAAAUACUAAACAGUGCCCCGGGGCACUAGUUAAGGAUGCAAAAAUAGUAAUUUGGUAUUGAAAUUUGUGCAGUCAACUUCUCGAAAGUUUAAAAAGUGUUAUUUUCUUUUCAAAACUUUCUAAUCUUGGCUUCCUUAACCAGUGCCCCGGGGGCACCGGUUAGCAUGACCCAUAUGUUAAAUAGAACAAAUAAUAAUACUAGAGUAAGGUUGGUAUAAGAAUGUGUAUAAUGUAUGAUUAAGGAAGAUUUGUUCUUGCUAAAAUGGAUCAGGAUUGCAGAAGUCAUAAGGUUCCUGCAAUUGUGCAAUUAGACGUUAUGAUUAUCCGAUCUUUAAGUACAAUAUUUUUAGAUAUUUCUAAAAAUAAAUUACUAACACUUUUUAUAUGCAUUUUUUAGACCGUUCGAUUUUGAUUGAACGACCAAAAUAACUUGACUACAGUGAAUGUAUGGAUCUAAUCUAUUUCCUUGCUAUAAUAGAGUAUAUCUCUUCAAUUAUUUAUGUUUAUUCUUAAAUAAUAGUGUUAGGGCUACUUUCAAGUUGGAUGAUCCUUUGUUUCAUGGGAGGAUGGGAUCUGCUUAUGGAAAUGCACAAUUCAAGACUAUUUGGUCCAACAAGGUCUUAAUUGUGCUUUUGAAAAAGAAAAACCAAGUGAGAUGUAAGAUUUAGAGUGCAUCGAGAAAAAUGUAGUGAGCACAAUUCGUUUGACACUUGCCCCACAGAUUAAAAUGAUUGUAUUGAAAGAAACUUGUCCAAAGAAAUUGUGGGAUUUGUUGGAAUAUAAGUUUGCAUCAACUACAUUAACUAACUGAUUGAUGAUGAAAAUAAAUUUGUAUCCACUGAAAAUAGAAGAUGAAGGCAAUGUGAUCAUAUUAAUAAGUUUUAUGAGUUGGUAUCUAGACUUAUGAAUGCAGACGACAAUAUCAAAGAUGAAGAACAAAUGUUCCGUUUGUUGGCUUUGCUACCCAAAUCUUAUAAACAACUUGUGCAGUAAAUGUCAGGGCCGACCCAAGGGCAACCCAAGCAAGGGCUUUAGGCCCCCGAUUAAUAAAAAAAAUUACUAAGGAAUAAAAGUCAUUCAUUCGGCUACUCAAACCGAUUCAUUCAAAGUCCGGCCCACUAUAUUGGCACACAGGUCUACUAUUCUCAUCUUAAUGAUAUUUUCUCUCCCGACCCCUCGUGUUUCUUUUAUACCCCUAAAUUUCCAAUUUUGCCCUUAAAAAAACUUCGGUUUGUAGAAACGGAAGUUUUUUUUUGUCUUGAAAACAAAUUUAUUCUGAAUUUGCACUAAAAAAAAAUUCGGUUUAUACGAACCGAAUUUUUUUGCAAGGGUAAAAUUGAAACAUUGGGGAUAUAAAAAAAUCACGAAAGUCGGGAGAGAAAACAUUCAUCUUAAUUAGCCCGAGCUAGCACCGGUUGCUUGCAUUUAGGGGUGAAAAUAGUAUGAAAUUAACAUUAUAGUCUAGUGUGUUAGAAUGCACUCUAUAACAUAACAUACUCCCUCCGUCCCAAAAAGAAUGACCCAUUUUGAAUAUAUGCACUAUUCAUAUAUAUUGUUUUGACCAUAUUUUUCUACUAAUAAAUAAAAAUAAAUAUUNNNNNNNNNNNNNNNNNNNNNNNNNNNNNNNNNNNNNNNNNNNNNNNNNNNUAUAAUUUUUACUAUUAUACAAUUAAAGAUAUUAGUCGCCAAAGUUAUGCAUUGGCAUGCGUGUUUCGGUCAACUGGGUCAUUCUUUUUGGGACGGAGGGAGUAACCAACUAGUAACUAAUUAUAAGCUAGUAGCUACGUUAAUCAAUGCACAACUAAUUCUAACAAAUCUUCAAUUAUAUCUAAAAUGAAGGGUAUUUCAAUUAUAUCUAUCUCAACUUAUCAAAAAAAAAAUUAUAUCUAUCUCAGUUAGAAUUUGAACAUUAAUUCAUUAUGAUGUGGGAGUUUAAUCCCUCCUGCUUAGAUUUUUUUAGAAGUUUAUUUAUUAUUUUUUUGGUGUCAAGGCUCUUAUUUCUAUGAAAAAACCCUAGUAAUUUGAAGUUUAGUGCAAGGUAAGUAAAGUCUGAACAAGAUAAUAGAGGAUAAGACAAAACAAUAUCGAUGAGAGAUAUAAUUAAGAUAAUAUUUUUUAUAUUAAUUCGAAAAUAAAAUGGAUAAUUUUGUACUUAUUAUAGUUGUACUAUGGACAAAAGUUGUCUUGUUGUUUGGUAAGGGACAAUGUUUUUCUUUUUAGGAAAAGAGACAAUGUUUUUUGUCCUAUUUCUUACUACCUAUUUUGUCCAAUCUCAUAACCAGUUUUUGAAAUCAAAUAGGUACAAUAAAAGUUGUCUAGUUCAAGUAAUAAGUUCAAUUUUUACAUAACAUGACGAGGCACGAUUGCGCUUCUGUUUUUUAGCACAUCAAACACAUCCUAUAAUAAACCUAUAAUAAACGAUAAAUAAGAACAAGUAUAGAUUCAUCCAAAGCAGUGUAUAUAUAAGUAGCACCGCAUGUUUUAUUUAUGGUAUUAUUAGGAAGUACCUAGCUAGUACAUCUUUUGAUCACAAAGAGUGAUUAAUUAACAACUAACAAAGUUAUAGUUGACUGUAAGAUGGCCAUUCUGGUAACCCUGUCCAUUUGUAUCAAUUUUAUUGAAGACAUUCACAUCCAAAUCCAGACCACCAUUGGCACAUUGAUCCACUAUUCUCACUGUUGCCUGAGCUCCAGUUGCAGUAUUUGUCACCUGCAUCAUCACAACAAUAGAUUAUUAAUUCAUCUUUAACAAGGAAUUGAAUCAAAAUGCUUUCAUACACAUGGUUCCUUCACCGAAUCAAUAGGAGCUCUUGUUAAUUCAAAUAUCAAAUUUAGUUUAGUGAUGAGAGAUUUGGAUAGUAUGCUAAAGAUUUUGGAUUCGAUCCGCAACUCAAUUGUAAAUAAAUAAAAAAUUAAUAUGAUUGGUGGUAACCAUAUACAAUAAACUGAGAUGUAUGGUUAAGAUCGCACAUAACCUUUCUACCACUGAAGUGGAUUUAGACCUGCUAUAAAAUUUCUUCCAUCCAUAUUUAAUUUUUAUAUAAUAAAAUUAAAAAUUGAACUAAUUUUUUUUUUUUAAUGACAAAUUAUUAGCAUGUUAUGUUAGUUUUUUACACCUUAUCGGAACGUGAAACUGGACCUCCAACCCUCCUAAACUUAAUUAGUUCAAUUAAUUGAACUACUUAUCCCACCCCAAUUAAAUUAAACGGAUUAUAAGGUGUAUCCCCCAAUCCGAAGAAGAAGAAGAAAGGGCAUAGCAAGAAAAAAAAACAAGCUUAAUACAAGAUAUUAUAUCAUACCUUCCUUCUCCAGUAAUAAAGCAACGAGAAGGCCAUGGAUUAUGCAAGGCCAAUAAGAUAUGGGCUUAGGCCCCCAAAAUGUAUUAUCAUUAAAUUAUUAUGAUUAAAUAAUUAAUCCAAAAAAUCUGAAAGUGAUUUGCUCAUAUAUAAGAAAAAAUAUGUUUUUUAAUUCAUUAUAAAGUUAAUGUAUCUAAACAACAUUGCAGUUUAGAUAGAUCAACUUUACAAUGAAUUUUUUGUAAAUGGUGUAAGUGGUAAUACCGUCAAGCAUUUGCCACAAGAAUCUCUGCCGCGAGGACCAACAGGUCCACAAAAGGCAGUCCAAGCAUAUUUUUUACGCCAUGACAAAGGCUGGUUAGCAUCCCAUGUAGCACAGUAUACACUGGCUUUGUUGUAAUCCCAAUUAAUAUUCUGAGGGUUGUAAUUAUGGUAUGUUGCCCUUACGUUGGUAGCACUCUGACC
RNAcentral lists this long non-coding RNA (19315 nucleotides) under Trifolium pratense (red clover). RNAcentral describes it as "long non-coding RNA (TPRA_LNC001189)". The record is from RNAcentral. Lineage: Eukaryota; Viridiplantae; Streptophyta; Magnoliopsida; Fabales; Fabaceae.